UGGAGCAUGGGUAAAAAAGGGACUAAAUCGAGAGAAAAAGUCCCUUUUUAUGCUGUUUAAGCCCUCUAACCUGAAUGGGGUUCAGGGGGUCGCGGGUUCAAAUCCCGCCGUUCCGA
RNAcentral lists this transfer RNA (116 nucleotides) under Ignavibacteriaceae bacterium. RNAcentral describes it as "tRNA-Leu". The record is from RNAcentral. Lineage: Bacteria; Pseudomonadati; Ignavibacteriota; Ignavibacteria; Ignavibacteriales; Ignavibacteriaceae.